UGUCUUUGUUAUUUUUCGAUUAUAUUUUUGUUAUGUUUUGUUUCUAUUUUAACCAUUUUUUUCUCUUCUUUUUUUUGUUAUUUAUCUUUUCUUUAAUUUUCUGUUACCUCUCUUGUUACCUCCUUUAUUGAACUUCGUCACCUUAUUCAUGUCGCCUUUCACAAUUCACUUCCCUCUCUAUCACCUCAAAUUUACGUUCAUGUUUCCACUUUCUUAUCCUCGCAUUUUUUUUUUUCUUAUUUCCUUGUACUUUCAUUCAGUGUUUGUUAUCCUUCAUAUUAUCCAUUUAUCCAGCUAUUUAUUUUAUUUUCUUAUUCAAUGAAACAAAAUACGUACGUUUAUGUGUACGUAUGUGCGUGUACGUGUUUGAUCACUGUUUCGUAAAAAUAUCACGAAAUUUAGUUUGUGUAUUAUUGUUACUUACUUUUGAUUACUUUUUGUUGAUAUUACUGUUUGCAGUGCGCAUGUCGCGUUUUGUUUGUUUCUUACUUCACCCCGGCGCCAGCAGCCAGCACCCAGCAGCCGCCACGCAGGUCAGUUGUCUGUAGUGGCUGCUUCCGCCAGGGUGAGUGUGGUGUGGCGGCCGUGUGACAUGGCCCAUGCUGGUUCCCUGCUGUUCCUUGGUAUGUCAUGUAAAGUGGAGCUUUGUGUACAGGUGCAAUACAGACACGUGAUUUGUAGGUUGUAUUGUUUUGUUCCAUACGGCAGAUGCGGAUACGUGUUUGGUAUUGCUCCAGCCGUUCCGUGAAAAUUUGUUUGAUUGUUGUUCGCAGCUGUGGGUGGUCUGCUGCGUGUGUGUGUGUGUGUGUGUGUGUGUGUUAACACGUUGUGCCAGGCGCUGAGCUUGCGGGGAAGCUGUGUACCAUGCCUGUGUGAUGUGCCCAGGACUGUGGGCUAUUUACCGCUGCUUGGUCAAUAUUGUAAGUGAAUAUUUGUUAGGUUAGAUAAUUUUUGUGAACUUUCUAGUUUGAUGGCUGAACAUUUAGCAUUGUAUGAGUUUGGAUACUUUGAAUUUGUGGUGUUAUGCUCUGUGAUGUUGUGUUAGUUAGUUAAUUGUUCUCAGGUUGGAUCGACUUAGUAAAAUAAGUUGAAUGCAACGUUCGACCUUCUCUACCCAGCGGUUUUGACGAAACAAUCAUGUACGCAUUGAGUCUGUGCACGUGUCCAGACGCGGCAGCACAAUUGGUCCGUGUACGUAAACCCUGUAGGUGUGGACGCAGAUGAGAAAUUCUUCCAGUCCAGGGGCGUCCAAGUGGUUCCUAGCAGCUGAUCUCCAGACGGUGACCUUGUCCAGUCACCAGCAGUGCGUGACCUUCGUGGUGCACUUCAUGGGCCCCAGCGCAGGUCGUCUUGAGCUGGACUUAUCCCGCGUGCUGGCUGGCCGCAAUCUGGACCCCCCCACCAUCAUCAUCAGGGGCGUGUCCUGACCCGGACCGCCCCAAGAAGCUGCCCUACAGGACCUGCGGGAGCCUGGAGGAGGAGACACUGCUGGAGGAGUAUAAGAGCGAGUCUUGGGGAUGGGAAGGGAGAGGAGAGUACAAGGUGUAAGGGUAGAUGGGAGCACUGGAAAGGGGAGGGGAGGGGAGGUGAGUAUGGCAGUUGGGGGGAGGAAGGGCAAGAAAAUGGAAGGGAAGGAGAAAAAGGAAAAAGGAAAUGAAAGGGAGGGAAAGUAGGAGGGUGGUGGCAGGGGAUAUGGGUGGUGUUUGGGUAUUUAGUUCAGAGGUUUAGGCUGUUUGCUCAGCGUUUGUUUCCUUUAGGCAUCUCAAAUGUUCCUUUGCAGAGCACAUCCCCAAUCCCUUUGCAGAGGUUUCCUUUUGGUAUCUCAAAUGUUCUUUUGCAGAACAUAUCCCCAAUCCCUUUGCAGAGGUUUCCUUUAGGCAUCUCAAAUGUUCCUUUGCAGAACAUAUCCCCAAUCCCUUUGCAUCCCCAAUCCCUUUGCAGAGGUUUCUUCUUAUCAGGUUUUUUCUUUUGCGGCCAACACCCCGUGGGAUCUCAAGGGCGGUGUUGCCGGAGCUGGCCUCGCCUCCGCCCUGCUGCUGCCUCUGCUUCACCUCAUCGCCUGCGAUAAACCCAUCAACAUCAAGGCAUCUUGGUUUUCGCGUCCAUCCCCGCCCCCUAGUUCCUCUCACCCUGCAUAGGGGGCCUGUACAUUAUGUAGAUAGGAGGCUAUAAUUGUGUGAAAUUAUAGAUAUAUUAUGCAAUAAUUAUCUUUAUGCAUAUAUAUAAAAUGCAAUAAUGUUCGUUAUGCAUAUAUACAAAAUACAAUAAUA
Molecule: long non-coding RNA, 2270 nt
Organism: Scylla paramamosain (green mud crab)
Lineage: Eukaryota; Metazoa; Arthropoda; Malacostraca; Decapoda; Portunidae
Exons: 3
Source: RefSeq, a predicted model, not a curated record